GAACGCUGGCGGCGUGCCUAAUACAUGCAAGUAGAACGCUGAAGAGAGGAGCUUGCUCUUCUUGGAUGAGUUGCGAACGGGUGAGUAACGCGUAGGUAACCUGCCUGGUAGCGGGGGAUAACUAUUGGAAACGAUAGCUAAUACCGCAUAAUAGUAGAUGUUGCAUGACAUUUGCUUAAAAGGUGCAAUUGCAUCACUACCAGAUGGACCUGCGUUGUAUUAGCUAGUUGGUGAGGUAACGGCUCACCAAGGCAACGAUACAUAGCCGACCUGAGAGGGUGAUCGGCCACACUGGGACUGAGACACGGCCCAGACUCCUACGGGAGGCAGCAGUAGGGAAUCUUCGGCAAUGGACGGAAGUCUGACCGAGCAACGCCGCGUGAGUGAAGAAGGUUUUCGGAUCGUAAAGCUCUGUUGUAAGAGAAGAACGAGUGUGAGAGUGGAAAGUUCAC
This 452-nucleotide ribosomal RNA is filed under the name Streptococcus sp. oral taxon 064. Its description in RNAcentral is "bacterial SSU rRNA". It matches the Rfam family "Bacterial small subunit ribosomal RNA", at positions 31 to 467 of the family's 1533-position model. Lineage: Bacteria; Bacillati; Bacillota; Bacilli; Lactobacillales; Streptococcaceae. The record is from RNAcentral.